Molecule: ribosomal RNA, 429 nt
Filed under: Bacteroidota bacterium
Lineage: Bacteria; Pseudomonadati; Bacteroidota
Description: Bacteroidetes bacterium partial 16S ribosomal RNA
Rfam family: Bacterial small subunit ribosomal RNA
Source: RNAcentral
UAGGGAAUCUUCCGCAAUGGACGCAAGUCUGACGGAGCAACGCCGCGUGAGUGAAGAAGGAUUUCGGUUCGUAAAACUCUGUUGUUAGAGAAGAACAGCGCAUAGAGUAACUGUUAUGCGUGUGACGGUAUCUAACCAGAAAGCCACGGCUAACUACGUGCCAGCAGCCGCGGUAAUACGUAGGUGGCAAGCGUUGUCCGGAUUUAUUGGGCGUAAAGCGAGCGCAGGCGGUCAAUUAAGUCUGCUGUGAAAGCCCCCGGCUCAACCGGGGAGGGUCAUUGGAAACUGGUUGACUUGAGUGCAGAAGAGGGGAGUGGAAUUCCAUGUGUAGCGGUGAAAUGCGUAGAUAUAUGGAGGAACACCAGUGGCGAAGGCGACUCGCUGGUCUGUAACUGACGCUGAGGCUCGAAAGCGUGGGUAGCAAACAGG